UUGCGGUUAAAAAGCUCGUAGUUGGAUUUCUGUUGAGGUCGGGCGGUGUACACUUCGUGUAUUAUUUGCUUCGGUCUCGGCAUCCUCUUGGGGAACGUCAGGACUUCAUUGGACUGGCGAGAUUCAAGACUUUUACUUUGAGGAAAUUAGAGUGUUCACGGCAGGCAAGUGCUUUGAAUACAUUAGCAUGGAAUAAUAAUAUAGGACCUUCGUUCUAUUUUGUUGGUUUCUAGAACUUAGGUAAUGAUUAAUAGGGACAAUUGGGGGCAUUCGUAUUAACGCGUCAGAGGUGGAAUUCUUGGAUUGCGUUACGACGAACUACUGCGAAAGCAUUUGCCAAAGAUGUUUUCAUUGAUCAAGAACGAAAGUAUGGGGAUCGAAGACGCUUAGAUACCGUCGUAGUCUAUACCAUAAACUAUGCCAACUAGGGAUUGGACGGGUUAUCCUAUGUGGCUCGUUCAGCACCUUAUGAGAAAUCAAAGUUUUUGGGUUCCGGGGGGAAUAUGGUCGCAAGGCUGAAACUUAAAGGAAUUGACGGAAAGGCACCACCAGGAGUGGAGCCUGCGGCUUAAUUUGACUCAACACGGGAAAAACUCACCA
This 600-nucleotide ribosomal RNA is filed under the name uncultured marine eukaryote. Its description in RNAcentral is "SSU rRNA". It matches the Rfam family "Eukaryotic small subunit ribosomal RNA", at positions 613 to 1220 of the family's 1831-position model. The record is from RNAcentral.